GCGUUUGUGGUUUAGUGGUAAAAUCCAUCGUUGCCAAUAGGCUAGAAUAGCAUCUAGUCAUUGUUGCCAAUAGGCUAGAAUAGCACCUAGUCAUUGUAUCGAUGGGCCCCGGGUUCGAUUCCCGGCGAACGCA
This 133-nucleotide transfer RNA is filed under the name Lachnellula cervina. It matches the Rfam family "tRNA". From Rfam's summary of the family: Transfer RNA (tRNA) molecules are approximately 80 nucleotides in length. Their secondary structure includes four short double-helical elements and three loops (D, anti-codon, and T loops). The record is from Rfam by way of RNAcentral. Lineage: Eukaryota; Fungi; Ascomycota; Leotiomycetes; Helotiales; Lachnaceae.